RNAcentral lists this ribosomal RNA (253 nucleotides) under uncultured bacterium. Its description in RNAcentral is "partial 16S ribosomal RNA". It matches the Rfam family "Bacterial small subunit ribosomal RNA", at positions 524 to 776 of the family's 1533-position model. The record is from RNAcentral.
UACGUAGGAUGCAAGCGUUGUUCGGAAUUACUGGGCGUCAAGAGUACGUAGGCGGUUUGAUAAGUCUGCUAUUAAAGACUGGAGCUUAACUCCAGGACUGUAGUGGAAACUGUCAGACUAGAGGACAAUAGAGGAAGUCGGAAUUCUCAGUGUAGCGGUGAAAUGCGUAGAUAUUGGGAAGAACACCAGUGGCGAAAGCGGACUUCUGGGUUGUUACUGACGCUGAGGUACGAAAGCGUGGGGAGCAAACGGG